GUACACUCCUACGGGAGGCAGCAGUGGGGAAUAUUGCACAAUGGGCGCAAGCCUGAUGCAGCCAUGCCGCGUGUAUGAAGAAGGCCUUCGGGUUGUAAAGUACUUUCAGCGGGGAGGAAGGCGAUAAGGUUAAUAACCUUGUUGAUUGACGUUACCCGCAGAAGAAGCACCGGCUAACUCCGUGCCAGCAGCCGCGGUAAUACGGAGGGUGCAAGCGUUAAUCGGAAUUACUGGGCGUAAAGCGCACGCAGGCGGUCAGUCAAGUCGGAUGUGAAAUCCCCGGGCUCAACCUGGGAACUGCAUUCGAAACUGGCAGGCUAGAGUCUUGUAGAGGGGGGUAGAAUUCCAGGUGUAGCGGUGAAAUGCGUAGAGAUCUGGAGGAAUACCGGUGGCGAAGGCGGCCCCCUGGACAAAGACUGACGCUCAGGUGCGAAAGCGUGGGGAGCAAACAGGAUUAGAUACCCCGGUAGUCCCAUG
RNAcentral lists this ribosomal RNA (477 nucleotides) under uncultured organism. RNAcentral describes it as "partial 16S ribosomal RNA". It matches the Rfam family "Bacterial small subunit ribosomal RNA", at positions 331 to 799 of the family's 1533-position model. The record is from RNAcentral.